UCGAGUUGUAAAACUCCCUAAACCAUUGUGAACUUUACCUGUAACCGUCGCUUCGGCGGGCGGCAUCUCGCCCUAACUGCUCCUCCGGGGGCAUCCCGCCGAAGUUUAUUAAAAUUCGUAUCAUUUUGGCCUCUCCGAGUAAACUUUCAAAUAAGUUA
RNAcentral lists this unclassified non-coding RNA (158 nucleotides) under uncultured fungus. Its description in RNAcentral is "sequence contains ITS1". Lineage: Eukaryota; Fungi. The record is from RNAcentral.